UACUCUUGGCUUCUCUUCAUCGUAUGAUUCUUUCGCCUUUUACUAAAGAAUUCCGUGGAGGGGAGCAUUUCAAUGAGUCUUAAGAUAUUUUUCUGCACCUGACUUUGGUCAGGUU
This is a small nuclear RNA of 115 nucleotides. Its record names the gene U5. It matches the Rfam family "U5 spliceosomal RNA". Rfam says of the family: U5 RNA is a component of both types of known spliceosome. The precise function of this molecule is unknown, though it is known that the 5' loop is required for splice site selection and p220 binding, and that both the 3' stem-loop and the Sm site are important for Sm protein binding and cap methylation. The record is from Ensembl.